CGUGGGUAACCUGCCUCAUACACAUGGAUAACAUACCGAAAGGUAUGCUAAUACAAGAUGAUAUAAGAGAUUCGCAUGGAUUUCUUAUCAAAGCUUUUGCGGUAUGAGAUGGACCCGCGUCUGAUUAGCUAGUUGGUAAGGUAAUGGCUUACCAAGGCUUCGAUCAGUAGCCGACCUGAGAGGGUGAUCGGCCACAUUGGAACUGAGACACGGUCCAA
This 218-nucleotide ribosomal RNA is filed under the name uncultured Bacillota bacterium. Its description in RNAcentral is "uncultured Firmicutes bacterium partial 16S ribosomal RNA". It matches the Rfam family "Bacterial small subunit ribosomal RNA", at positions 116 to 334 of the family's 1533-position model. The record is from RNAcentral. Lineage: Bacteria; Bacillati; Bacillota.